RNAcentral lists this ribosomal RNA (513 nucleotides) under uncultured bacterium. Its description in RNAcentral is "partial 16S ribosomal RNA". It matches the Rfam family "Bacterial small subunit ribosomal RNA", at positions 28 to 523 of the family's 1533-position model. The record is from RNAcentral.
GACGAACGCUGGCGGCAUGCCUAAUACAUGCAAGUCGAGCGAACAGAUGAAGUGCUUGCACUUCUGACGUUAGCGGCGAACGGGUGAGUAACACGUAAGGAAUCUACCUAUAAGCGGGGGAUAACAUUCGGAAACGGGUGCUAAUACCGCAUAAUAUCUUCUUCCGCAUGGAAGAAGAUUGAAAGACGGCUCUGCUGUCCCUUAUAGAUGACCUUGCGGUGCAUUAGUUAGUUGGGGGGGUAACGGCCUACCAAGACGAUGAUGCAUAGCCGACCUGAGAGGGUGAUCGGCCACAUUGGGACUGAGACACGGCCCAAACUCCGACGGGAGGCAGCAGUAGGGAAUGUUCCGCAAUGGGCGAAAGCCUGACAGAGCAAUGCCGCGUGAGUGAAGAAGGACUUCGGGUCGUAAAACUCUGUUAUAAGAGAAGAACAAAUUGUAGUGUAACUGCUACAGUCUUGACGGUAUCUUAUCAGAAAGCCACGGCUAACUACGUGCCAGCAGCCGCGGUAA